UGUCCGAAUCUCACCCGGCUGAAGCUCCGCGCGUGCCGUGAGCUCACCGAUGCCGGCAUGACCGCCCUGGCCCGGAAUUGCAAAGCUCUCCGCAAGCUAUCCUGCGGCUCCUGCACGUUUGGAUCCCGCGGGAUCGACGCCGUCCUCCGCGGCUGCCCCCUUCUGGAAGAGCUCUCCAUCAAGCGUCUCCGUGGGUUAUCUGAUGCCGGAUCUGAUCCGGUCGGACCGGGAGUUGCCGCCGCCUCGCUGCGGUCGAUCUGCCUCAAGGAGCUGUACAACGGCCAGUGUUUUGCCCCGCUCAUCGCCGGUGCCACCAAUCUCCGCACGCUGAAACUCUUCCGCUGCUCCG
Molecule: unclassified non-coding RNA, 349 nt
Filed under: Hevea brasiliensis (rubber tree)
Lineage: Eukaryota; Viridiplantae; Streptophyta; Magnoliopsida; Malpighiales; Euphorbiaceae
Source: RNAcentral